RNAcentral lists this ribosomal RNA (445 nucleotides) under uncultured bacterium. Its description in RNAcentral is "SSU rRNA". It matches the Rfam family "Bacterial small subunit ribosomal RNA", at positions 26 to 518 of the family's 1533-position model. The record is from RNAcentral.
AGAACGAACGCUGGCGGCAUGCCUAACACAUGCAAGUCGAACGAGACCUUCGGGUCUAGUGGCGCACGGGUGCGUAACGCGUGGGAAUCUGCCCUUAGGUACGGAAUAACAGUGAGAAAUUACUGCUAAUACCGUAUGAUGUCUUCGGACCAAAGAUUUAUCGCCUAGGGAUGAGCCCGCGUAGGAUUAGCUAGUUGGUGGGGUAAAGGCCUACCAAGGCGACGAUCCUUAGCUGGUCUGAGAGGAUGAUCAGCCACACUGGGACUGAGACACGGCCCAGACUCCUACGGGAGGCAGCAGUGGGGAAUAUUGGACAAUGGGCGAAAGCCUGAUCCAGCAAUGCCGCGUGAGUGAAGAAGGCCUUCGGGUUGUAAAGCUCUUUUACCCGGGAAGAUAAUGACUGUACCGGGAGAAUAAGCCCCGGCUACUCCGCGCCAGCAGCCGC